Molecule: transfer RNA, 76 nt
Filed under: Rhodocyclaceae bacterium
Lineage: Bacteria; Pseudomonadati; Pseudomonadota; Betaproteobacteria; Rhodocyclales; Rhodocyclaceae
Description: tRNA-Asn
Rfam family: tRNA
About the family: Transfer RNA (tRNA) molecules are approximately 80 nucleotides in length. Their secondary structure includes four short double-helical elements and three loops (D, anti-codon, and T loops).
Source: RNAcentral
UCCGCGAUAGUAUUCUCGGUGAGCACCCCCGGCUGUUAACCGGGUGAGGAACGUUCGAAUCGUUCUCGCGGAGCCA